RNAcentral lists this ribosomal RNA (909 nucleotides) under Botryosphaeria ramosa. RNAcentral's name for it is "LSU rRNA". It matches the Rfam family "Eukaryotic large subunit ribosomal RNA", at positions 38 to 965 of the family's 3401-position model. Lineage: Eukaryota; Fungi; Ascomycota; Dothideomycetes; Botryosphaeriales; Botryosphaeriaceae. The record is from RNAcentral.
GCAUAUCAAUAAGCGGAGGAAAAGAAACCAACAGGGAUUGCCUUAGUAACGGCGAGUGAAGCGGCAACAGCUCAAAUUUGAAAGCUGGCUCCUUCGGAGUCCGCGUUGUAAUUUGUAGAGGAUGAUUCGGCAAGGGCUCCCGCCUAAGUCUCCUGGAACGGAGCGUCAUAGAGGGUGAGAAUCCCGUAUGCGGUGGGCUGCCUAAGCCAUGUGAAUCUCCUUCGACGAGUCGAGUUGUUUGGGAAUGCAGCUCUAAAUGGGAGGUAAAUUUCUUCUAAAGCUAAAUACCGGCCAGAGACCGAUAGCGCACAAGUAGAGUGAUCGAAAGAUGAAAAGCACUUUGGAAAGAGAGUUAAAAAGUACGUGAAAUUGUUGAAAGGGAAGCGCUUGCAGCCAGACUUGUCCGCAGUUGCUCAGCCGGUCUCCUGACCGGUGUACUCUUCUGCGGCCAGGCCAGCAUCAGUUCGGGCGGUCGGAUAAAGACCUCGGGAAUGUAGCUCCUCUCGGGGAGUGUUAUAGCCCGGGGUGGAAUGCGGCCAGCCUGGACUGAGGAUCUCGCUUCGGCUAGGAUGCUGGCGUAAUGGCUGUAAGCGGCCCGUCUUGAAACACGGACCAAGGAGUCUAACAUCUAUGCGAGUGUUUGGGUGUCAAACCCAUGCGCGUAAUGAAAGUGAACGGAGGUGGGAACCCUCACGGGUGCACCAUCGACCGAUCCUGAUGUCUUCGGAUGGAUUUGAGUAAGAGCAUAGCUGUUGGGACCCGAAAGAUGGUGAACUAUGCCUGAAUAGGGUGAAGCCAGAGGAAACUCUGGUGGAGGCUCGCAGCGGUUCCGACGUGCAAAUCGAUCGUCAAAUUUGGGUAUAGGGGCGAAAGACUAAUCGAACCAUCUAGUAGCUGGUUCCUGCCGAA